GCCAAUUUUGGAGUUCAAUUAGCAAGUCCGAUUAUAAUGCUCUCAGAUUUGGGUUUCUUACUACUCAUCAACUUCCGUUAUCCUAUGAUUUUUUCAAUUACAUGGUCAGAAGUAUGGAUGAAGAAUUCAGGGAUAUCGUUGGUAUCAGCUUGCCUCUUUGGGUCUAUGCCAUAGUUUGCAUUUUCCUUGAUUUUCAUGGAACUAAUGUCUACUUUUGGCUUUCCUUUCUUCCGGCUAUUGUAAGCUGUUCAAUUCUUUGAUUCAUUCUAUGUUUGUCUAAGAUAAACCCCUUUUUUUUUUUUUGGUCCGGCUGAGUUACUCGUUUUAUGUUUUUGCUCGUGGAAGAUAAUUGUUGUAAUUGGUACAAAGCUGCACCACGUUGUGGUUAAGCUCGCAGUAGAGAUAAUUGAUUCACAAUCAUAUAUCAAUGCCCAAGAGUUUAAACUGAGAGAUGAGCUCUUCUGGUUUGGGAAGCCAUGGCUUUUACUUAGGUUCAUACAAUUCAUAUCUUUCCAAAAUGCAUUUGAGAUGGCAAUGUUCCUAUGGUCAUUG
Chenopodium quinoa (quinoa) is the source of this 552-nucleotide long non-coding RNA. RefSeq lists it as uncharacterized. The record is from RefSeq and is a predicted model, not a curated record. Lineage: Eukaryota; Viridiplantae; Streptophyta; Magnoliopsida; Caryophyllales; Amaranthaceae. The transcript has 5 exons.